AUGAUUUUAAAUAAUUAAAUGGCUGCGGUAUAAUUGACUGUACAAAGGUAGCAUAAUCAAUUGUUUUUUAAUUAAAAACUGGAAUGAAAGAGUUAAUGAGAUAUACACUGUCUCAUAUAUAUUAAAUUAAUUUAAAUUUUUAGUUAAAAUGCUAAAAUUAGUUUAUGGGACGAUAAGACCCUAUAGAAUUUUAUAUUAAUAUUUUAAUUAUAAUUUUAUUAUUGAAUAUUAAUAUUUUGUUGGGAGGAUAGGUAAAUUUAUUAAACUUUAUUUUAAAUAUUAACUUUAAUUAAAGAAUAUAUUUUGAUCUUUUAGUAAAAAUGAAAAGAGUAAAUUACCUUAGGGAUAACAGCGUAAUAUCUUUUUAAAGAUCUUAUUGAAAAAGAUGAUUGCGACCUCGAUGUUGAAUUAAGAUAAAUUUUAAAUGAAGAAAUUUAAUAAUUAAGUCUGUU
Molecule: ribosomal RNA, 452 nt
Filed under: Bombus terrestris (buff-tailed bumblebee)
Lineage: Eukaryota; Metazoa; Arthropoda; Insecta; Hymenoptera; Apidae
Also listed under: 2 other names
Description: partial large subunit ribosomal RNA
Source: RNAcentral